GUGACAUAACAAGACCUGUCUCAAAAUAAUAAAAAGGACUGAAGGUGUAACUCCGUGUAUUGAUCCUAGCUUCAAUACCCAGUUCUCCGAAAUAAAAUAAUAGGAAAAAGAAUAAUAACUAAGAAGUAGAGAAGAAUUAUUAUCAGUAACCAGCAAACUGAAAGAAUGCGUCGAUGCUCACAAUGCAAAGAUGUUGCACUUGUUGGCUCAUUUUUUAAAGACACAAAUUUUUGUACAGAGUAGUCUCAAUCAUGUAAAAAGUACGUAUGCGCAGGAAACUCGACAGAGUUAGCAGGUGUUUCCAAACGGUGGAGUUUUUCUGUUUUUGUGGGUAUUGGAAAUUGAAUUCAGGACCUCACACUUGCCAGGCAGGCGCUGUGCCGCUGAGCUAUAUCCCCGGCCACUGAGGGUAGGAUUAUGAGUGCUUUUUCUUUACAGUUUUAGUAUUUCCUGGGUCAGAUAUUCUGCUUUACCCAUGUGUUCAUUUAUAACGAGGGGAGCAGGGAAUGCACUGAAGAAAUGAAAAGCAGCUGCAAAGUCUUUCCGUGACCUUCCAAGACAGAGGGAAUCUGUGACACACCCAGCUUCAAUAAUACCUUUUUGUCCCCCACCGCCUGUCCUUGAAUAAUGUUACUAACAAAUAAUGAGAUAGUAUGAUACAGUGGGUUUCCUAUACUUUUUUGUGAAAUUUUUCUGUUUCAGAAAUCAGAGGCUGGUCAGGGCCCCCCUUUCAUAACUGAGCCUUGUGUGGUGGCGCACGCCUGUAAUCCCAGCACUCGGGAGGCUGAAGCAGGAGGAUCAUUGCAAGUUCGAGACCAGCCUGGGCUACGCUGGCCCUAUAGUGCAGCACAAGGCAACCUACUGUGGAAGAGAGAGCACAGUGGCCCACAGCUCCUUGAGGACUUCUGUAUCCCCUGCUCCUGGGGCUGACGUCAGGCCCAGGCUAUCCUGUCAAACACCUGCACAAGUUUUCAUGAAAAGCUUUAAAAAUGACACACUCUGACUGAGUCUGUCCUGAGUGCUGGACACAGAAAAGGCCACGCCCAGGAUCGCGGGGCCUGGGGCCAUCUAUAAACCCAGGAGGAGGGCUGGGGAUUCAUCUCAGUGGCACAGCACCUGCCUGGCAAGCAUGAGGUUCCUCCUGAGCGCUGGGAUCACAGACGUGCGCCACCACGCCCGGCCUAGACUUCCAUUUGGUACCCAUCACUCGUCACUUCUUAGCUCAGAAUGGACCCAAACAGACUGCAAUAGAAGAUAAAUUGUUAAAGACUGGUGGACACUGGGCUGUAUGGGGUUAAGUUGCAUAAGAAGGGACCUCUGGCCAUAUUGGAAAAGCUCCUGUUCAUGAACUCCCUAUUCCAGAGCAAUAAGACUAUCAACCUUCGAGAUCAAACAGUUCUCUUAAUUAGCAAGCCUUGCUGCCUUUGUUCUAACUUCUUCUGAAUCCCUGAUCUGUGGAAACUCAAUAAAUAUGGGUACUCCAGAGAAAUGGGUUCUCACCUUCCUGGGCUCC
Chinchilla lanigera (long-tailed chinchilla) is the source of this 1513-nucleotide long non-coding RNA. RefSeq lists it as uncharacterized. NCBI's taxonomy places the organism in Eukaryota, Metazoa, Chordata, Mammalia, Rodentia, Chinchillidae. The transcript has 4 exons. The record is from RefSeq and is a predicted model, not a curated record.